This is a long non-coding RNA of Oncorhynchus tshawytscha (Chinook salmon), 2674 nucleotides long. Lineage: Eukaryota; Metazoa; Chordata; Actinopteri; Salmoniformes; Salmonidae. The record is from Ensembl.
GGCCAGCUAACGUUAACCUUAGCAUACAACACUGUUUGCCAGAGCGAAUACAGAUUACUUCCUGUCUACAAGAUGAUAAAGCAAUUACGUAACUGUUUAAAAUAAAAUUGUUUAGAAUUAUGCGGGAAGAAAUACAGAAAAUACUAGAUAAUUUACCUCGCUUUUUCACUGUCAAAUAGCUAGCUACGUCCAAAUAAGCAGUUGUGUUUAUUUGUACUACAGCACAAACUCCGAGUGGAUGUGAUUAAGAAGGCGUGGCAUCGAUCGACUUCGAUGUUCCAUGAAUAAGCAAGGUUGCACCGAGGAAAAUGUCACAGACACUAUCUGAUGUGUGGAGACAUUUCACUGCAGCUAAUGUAAAAGGAAAAGCUGUGUACAUUUGCAAAUACUGUGCUAAAUAAUUUGUGAAGAAUUUAACAAAGAUGCAGAAUCAUCUGGCCAAGUGCAUAAAGUUCCCUCAGCGGUCACAACAAGCAACCUCUGACAAAAGUCUGUAUACUUCUAUUCAAGGUCAAAUCAGACACCUUAUCGAUAGCAACAGCUCAUGGUCCUCCUGGAAUCAGAAGUUUUUUGACUCAAUGUAGGAACGUAGUCAGAGACAUGCUGAUGAAUGUCUUGCUCGAGCUGUGUAUGCAACUGGUUCACCUCUGAUGCUCACAGGCAAUGUGUAUUGGAAGAGAUUUCUGAAUGUUCUUUUUCCAGCAUACACCCCUCCAACCAGCCAUGCUUUAUCUACUAAUUUGCUGGAUGUUCAACAUUCAAGUGAAGGUCAAGCAAAUCAUAGAGAAAGCAGACUGUAUUGCAAUCAUCUCUGAUGUGUGGUCGAAUGUUCGUGGGCAAGGAAUAAUUAACUACAUCAUCUCCACCCCUCAACCAGUAUUCUGCAAGAGCACAGACACCGGGGACAACAGACACACCGGUCUCUACAUUGCAGAUGAGCUGAAGGCAGUCAUCAAUGACCUUGGACCACAGAAGGUAUUUGCACUGGUGACAGACAAUGCUGCGAACAUGAAGGCUGCUUGGUCUAAAGUGGAGGAGUCUUACCCUCACAUCACACCCAUUGGCUGUGCUGCUCAUGCAUUGAAUCUGCUCAAGGACAUCUUGGCACUGAAAACAAUGGACACACUCUACAAGAGAGCCAAGGAAAUGGUUAGGUAUGUGAAGGGUCAUCCAGUUAUAGCAGCAAUCUACCUCACCAAGCAAAGUGAAAAGAAUAAGAGCACCACAUUUAUGCUGCCCAGCAACAGUCUUUGGGGAGGUGUUGUCAUCAUGUUUGACAGUCUCCUGGAGGGGAAGGAGUCUCUCCAAGAAAUGACCAUAUCACAGUCUGCUGACAUGGACAGCCCCAUCAAGAGGAUCUUCCUGGAUGAUGUAUUUUGGGAGUGGUAAGCAACCUGAAACUCCUGAAACCAAUAGCAGUAGCCAUUGCACAGAUUGAGGGAGACAUUGCCAUCCUGUCUGAUGUUCAGACUAUGUACUGCCCUGCCCACUUCACUGUUGCUCCAAGCAGAGGAAACUGCAGUUCUAAAAUACAUCGAAAAGCAUGAAGAUUUCUGCCUGAAGCCCAUACACGCCGCAGCGUACAUGUUGGACCACAAGUAUGCUGGCAAGAGUAUCCUGUCUGAUGCAGAGAUCAACAAGACCUAUAGUAUCAUCACUACCGUGUCUCUCCACUUUGGCCUGGAUGAGCGCAAGGUUCUAGGUAGUCUGACGAUGUACACUUCCAAGCAAGGGCUUUGGGAUGGAGAUGCAAUAUGGCAGUCGUGCCAACAUCUCAUCAGCCCCCUGUUGGAAGAGACUUUGUGGAUCUGAGGCUCUUUCUGCUGUUGCCUUCAUCAUCCUCCAAAUCCCACCAACAUCAGCCGCCUCAGAGCGCAACUGGUCCUUGUUUGGGAACACACACACCAAAGCACGCAACAGGCUGACCAAUACAAGAGUUGAAAAAUUGGUGGCCAUCCAGGCAAAUUUGAGGCUUUUUGAGCCUGACAACGAGCCAUCCUCAACAAGGUUGGAAAGUGACAGUAAAGAUGAGGCCUCAGAGUCUGAUGUUCAAGAGGUCGACAUUGAGGAGGUCCCGGGAGAAGACAUGGAAGCCUUAGAGGAAGACAACCAAAGCUUUAGUAUCUAGACUAUAAUUUUACAGAUGUAUGUUGAAAACGUUUUUGGGAGAUGUGAUGGAUCAUUGGGGAUCAUUCAGUAUCUCAUUUUCCUUCAUGUUCUGUGAAAUCAUCCCAUGUGAAGAGUCAAUUUAUUUAAUUAAAGUUCAAUUCGUAACAAUUUUAUUUAAAAACAUUAUAUUGGAAAUAUUUAAUCAUUUGCAUUUUGUCUACUUAUGAUAAGGUAAAAUAGUUAUGUUUCUGUCUCCAUAUGAUAUCGUAAAUAUAUUCAAUGUAAUAAAACAUCUACAUAUAAAUGCUAUUAAUAUUAAAUUGCAUAUAUUUCCGUUAAUUCCCAUAUAUUCCCUUUAAUUCCCAUAUAUGCCCGUUAAUUCCCACGGAAAAUUUCCACCUCUGAAUAUUCCCCAAAAUGUGCAACCCAAACAAUAACACAAGGAUAACCCUGAUUAAAAAAAGUUUCAAGACAACAUUUCAUACUUCUAAAUGUCUUGAAGGAUGAAACUACAUGAGUUUUCAUAGCCUACUGCUAUAUUACACAAAGACAAACCCAGUUAGUC